GUGAGGAUAAGGCCACAGGAGGACAUGGGCCACUCCUGCCCAGGCUGAGAGUAGCCUCGGUGAACACAGAAACACCCUAUGCAACUGAGACCCACCUUUUAUGCUCACAGAACAUGUUAUUUACCAAUAUCUCAUCCCCAGAAGUUGGAUACAUUUCCCAGUGAUAGCUCCUUGAGGCAACAUGACUUGGAGUCAGGCAGCAUGGAUUCUGGAUAUUUUUGUCCCCACCAACAGAACCAACUAGAGUCUUGCCGACUUGCUUUUGAGCACCUCAUCCACAGACACCUAAAAAUAGGUGUUUCUGAUCAUUCAGAGGCUGAUUAUAUCCCAGCCCAAAGCGCCAACCUUGGAACUUCUACAAGGGCUGGACUCUGGAUACAAGGAGCCCAGGUGGACAGACCUGCCCUCAGGAAUCUUCCAGGCCAGAAUAAGCCGAGCCCUCCCUCCCUCUCUCCCAGUUUCUCCAGAGCCUUCUGUUCCCUUGUUUGAUUCCAACUUGUCUCCCCAUCAUGUGUCCCCUCUCAUCCCCCAC
RNAcentral lists this long non-coding RNA (532 nucleotides) under Marmota monax (woodchuck). Lineage: Eukaryota; Metazoa; Chordata; Mammalia; Rodentia; Sciuridae. The record is from RNAcentral.